This is a long non-coding RNA of Sorex araneus (European shrew), 1012 nucleotides long. RefSeq lists it as uncharacterized. The transcript is spliced from 3 exons. The record is from RefSeq and is a predicted model, not a curated record. Lineage: Eukaryota; Metazoa; Chordata; Mammalia; Eulipotyphla; Soricidae.
CCCAACGGGGACGAGCGGCCGGGCCGGAGAGCCGCCCGAGGAUACUGAGCGAGGAUACUGAGAACGCCUUGCUGGGCAUGCCGGGUAAUCACCCUGCCCUGUGCUAACCCCCCAGGACUCUGGGACGCCGGCCUAUUUUCCAGCCAUAAAAGUGUGGACUCAGGGCUGGGCUGCAUGCUAACCCAGACGGUCUGCCAACGCGCCGCCUUGCUCCGCAGCCCUGCAUUUCUAACCAGUGAGGGUCUGGUCUAAAAGUGACUUCGGUCAUUUUCCAAUGCGUGGAGCUCUCGUUUGACCUACCCAUGGGCCGAGGAGAGCCAUCGAGGGGGGAAAAAGAAAUCUCCUAACAGGGCUUUGAAGCCAAGCAAUCUGCUCCCCAAGUGCAGAAGUCUGACCGUGACAACUGUCGUGAACAGCCACGAGGGUAGCCAUCGCAAGAUUGCAAAGAAUCAGUGGAAAUUGGUUGUGCAGUAAGGCCUGGGCCAACACUCCCCCACCUUCUGUGUCCAACCUCAGCAAUCAGCACGGGGGCCAAGAGCCAGCAGCCCCCUCGGGAGCAGCCUGGUGGCAUCACCGCAGAACAUCAGGACUGAAUCAGGACACUGCUUUCUGUUCGAGAGCCAACAGCCAGGGCUGCUCUUCUGUGGAACGUGCCGGGCAGACACUCGGAAAGAGCGGUGGCCCGUCUGGUUCUGCAGUCUGCACCAUCCGUUCAAGCAGCCCAGCCGUGUACAGGCACGCACCACGUUUCCACAUCCCAUUGGCUCUCAGAAGCAGGGACCACUCCACCCCCCCAGUGCACACAUUCCACCACUCACAGCCAGACUCAGGACACCCCACUAACACACCCCACUAAGCAGCGGAACAGACUUGAAGAAAACCCAACAGUCGUGGCGUGACAGUGGCCGGCAACGCUGCACCUCACAUGCCAUGCCUUCUACUAAACUGGGUUAACUAAACCCGUGUCCUUCAGAGCCAGGGCAGGCUCAUCCUGAGCAAGGAUGGAGAGGGC